AGACCCGAAACCCGGUGAUCUAGCCAUGGGCAGGUUGAAGGUUGGGUAACACUAACUGGAGGACCGAACCGACUAAUGUUGAAAAAUUAGCGGAUGACCUGUGGCUGGGGGUGAAAGGCCAAUCAAACCGGGAGAUAGCUGGUUCUCCCCGAAAGCUAUUUAGGUAGCGCCUCGUGAAUUCAUCUCCGGGGGUAGAGCACUGUUUCGGCUAGGGGGCCAUCCCGGCUUACCAACCCGAUGCAAACUGCGAAUACCGGAGAAUGUUAUCACGGGAGACACACGGCGGGUGCUAACGUCCGUCGUGAAGAGGGAAACAACCCAGACCGCCAGCUAAGGUCCCAAAGUCAUGGUUAAGUGGGAAACGAUGUGGGAAGGCCCAGACAGCCAGGAUGUUGGCUUAGAAGCAGCCAUCAUUUAAAGAAAGCGUAAUAGCUCACUGGUCGAGUCGGCCUGCGCGGAAGAUGUAACGGGGCUAAACCAUGCACCGAAGCUGCGGCAGCGACACUCAGGUGUUGUUGGGUAGGGGAGCGUUCUGUAAGCCUGUGAAGGUGGCCUGUGAGGGUUGCUGGAGGUAUCAGAAGUGCGAAUGCUGACAUAAGUAACGAUAAAGCGGGUGAAAAGCCCGCUCGCCGGAAGACCAAGGGUUCCUGUCCAACGUUAAUCGGGGCAGGGUGAGUCGACCCCUAAGGCGAGGCCGAAAGGCGUAGUCGAUGGGAAACGGGUUAAUAUUCCCGUACUUGGUGUUACUGCGAAGGGGGGACGGAGAAGGCUAUGUUGGCCGGGCGACGGUUGUCCCGGUUUAAGCGUGUAGGUGUGUGUUCCAGGUAAAUCCGGUUCACUUUAACACUGAGGCGUGAUGACGAGGCACUACGGUGCUGAAGCAACAAAUGCCCUGCUUCCAGGAAAAGCCUCUAAGCAUCAGGUAACAUCAAAUCGUACCCCAAACCGACACAGGUGGUCAGGUAGAGAAUACCAAGGCGCUUGAGAGAACUCGGGUGAAGGAACUAGGCAAAAUGGUGCCGUAACU
This 1027-nucleotide ribosomal RNA is filed under the name Salmonella enterica subsp. enterica serovar Infantis. Its description in RNAcentral is "partial 23S ribosomal RNA". It matches the Rfam family "Bacterial large subunit ribosomal RNA", at positions 711 to 1735 of the family's 2925-position model. The record is from RNAcentral. RNAcentral also lists the same sequence under 2 other names. Lineage: Bacteria; Pseudomonadati; Pseudomonadota; Gammaproteobacteria; Enterobacterales; Enterobacteriaceae.